CACUGAGCAUAAAAAAGAAAUGGAAGGAGGCAACGACUCCCACACCUCAAUCUGAGAGCGUCUGUGUUUUUAACGGCUGCUCUCGCUAUGAGGCCCUCUUCCUGCUUUGACAGUAAAAACUGAACAAUAAAACAGCCGCUCCUGAAAGAGGAAAGAGCAGACGACUGAACAUCUUCAAAGCAUGAGGACUCUCCUGCUUUAUUUUCUUUUUAUUCAGCUUUUUGAAGCCCGCUCUGAGUUGCAGUUAAAGCAUCUAAUGGAGGGGGAGUCUGUGGGGCUCUCCUGCAUCCCUCAGAAGGAUCGUGGCUCACUGGUCGGGCUCCAACUGUACCACCACGGCGUUCAGAGCCAAACCACCCUCCUGUCUGUCACUGAGAGUGGACGGGUCAAGGUGGACCCAGAGCUAAGGCCCCGUCUGAAGCUCCACGGAACACUAAACUCCUUGCAGAUCAAUGUGAGCAUCUCUCUCCUACAACCGAGCGACACUGGAGUUUAUGUGUGGGAGCUGAGUUAUGGGAGCAACAGCUCUGACUGGAGAGACCACAGUGUGAGGACAAUGCUGCUGGUUGAAGGGGCAGGAAAACUGUGUCAGAGCUACCACACCCUGCUCUUGACCAUGGCUGCAGCUGCUGGCUUUCUCCUGCUCACACUCGCCUGGAUAGCUGCCGAAAUCUGGGUAAUUAUCUCAAAGUUCACAGAUCAUUUUUUUAAGAUUUUACACCUUUUUAAUUAUCUAUUUUACUGUGGGGUAAACGACUUUGGCACUAAUCAUGUGAGAAUGUAAAAAAAAAAAAAGAUUUUUUUCUAAGCUGUGAAAAGAAAUGUUCAUAAGGAAGAUCAUAAAUGCUGUUGGGGAGGACUUUCAUGAAAUUAAAGUUAUUCAAAAGGUGCAAAAUAAAAGCCUCUUGAGUACAGCAAAAUGAAGAAAUUAAUACGCUCAUCUCUUCCCCUUAUUUACAUUGUUUAUCAUGGUAAAUGUAUCCCUUUGAUUUUACCUAUGAAUACAUUUUCAAAUUUGUUUUCCAAUAAUUUGGAUUAUUUAAAGACCAACUUCAAUGAGAAUUCCCUUUUAGGGGUUUAUGUGUUUUUGAGGCAUUUUUCUGAUGAAGGGUGAAUAUUUCUUUAAUAAAAUUGCAGAGAAUCAGACAAGAACAAAAACUCUGUUUGUAAAAGAUCAGAAUUAGAACAGAUUAGAA
RNAcentral lists this long non-coding RNA (1196 nucleotides) under Oryzias javanicus (javanese ricefish). RNAcentral's name for it is "lncRNA (ENSOJAG00000007120.1)". Lineage: Eukaryota; Metazoa; Chordata; Actinopteri; Beloniformes; Adrianichthyidae. The record is from RNAcentral.